AUUGAACGCUGGCGGCAGGCCUAACACAUGCAAGUCGAGCGGUAGAGAGGUGCUUGCAUCUCUUGAGAGCGGCGGACGGGUGAGUAAUGCCUAGGAAUCUGCCUAGUGGUGGGGGAUAAACGUUUCGGAAACGGACGCUAAUACCGCAUACGUCCUACGGGAGAAAGCGGGGGAUCUUCGGACCUCGCGCCAUUAGAUGAGCCUAGGUCGGAUUAGCUAGUUGGUGAGGUAAUGGCUCACCAAGGCGACGAUCCGUAACUGGUCUGAGAGGAUGAUCAGUCACACUGGAACUGAGACGCGGCCCAGACUCCUACGGGAGGCAGCAGUGGGGAAUAUUGGACAAUGGGCG
This 349-nucleotide ribosomal RNA is filed under the name uncultured bacterium. Its description in RNAcentral is "bacterial SSU rRNA". It matches the Rfam family "Bacterial small subunit ribosomal RNA", at positions 30 to 377 of the family's 1533-position model. The record is from RNAcentral.